RNAcentral lists this ribosomal RNA (464 nucleotides) under uncultured bacterium. RNAcentral's name for it is "bacterial SSU rRNA". It matches the Rfam family "Bacterial small subunit ribosomal RNA", at positions 33 to 507 of the family's 1533-position model. The record is from RNAcentral.
GACACGCUGGCGGCGUGCUUAACACAUGCAAGUCGAACGGUGACGAGGAGCUUGCUCCUCUGAUCAGUGGCGAACGGGUGAGUAACACGUGAGCAACCUGCCCCAGACUCUGGGAUAACAGUUGGAAACAGCUGCUAAUACCGGAUACGAGACGGAGAGGCAUCUCUACCGUCUGGAAAGUUUUUCGGUCUGGGAUGGACUCGCGGCCUAUCAGCUAGUUGGUGAGGUAAUGGCUCACCAAGGCGACGACGGGUAGCCGGCCUGAGAGGGCGACCGGCCACACUGGGACUGAGACACGGCCCAGACUCCUACGGGAGGCAGCAGUGGGGAAUAUUGCACAAUGGGCGAAAGCCUGAUGCAGCGACGCCGCGUGAGGGAUGAAGGCCUUCGGGUUGUAAACCUCUUUCAGCAGGGAAGAAGCGAAAGUGACGGUACCUGCAGAAGAAGCACCGGCUAACUACGUG